Molecule: RNA transcript, 4089 nt
Organism: Carya illinoinensis
Lineage: Eukaryota; Viridiplantae; Streptophyta; Magnoliopsida; Fagales; Juglandaceae
Gene name: disease resistance protein TAO1-like
Exons: 4
Source: RefSeq, a predicted model, not a curated record
ACCGAAUACUAUCUUGUAACGCAACGAUGAUGCACCAUUUCCCUACCCUCCUCUUGCUCUUUAAGAAGACUUUCUCCCUCGCCCUCUUCACACACUAAGAAAGGUUAGAGAGAGAGAGACACAGAAAGUUGGGAAAACAGAGAGCGAGCAGAGGGAAAAGAGUAAUUGUAACUCAGGUGUGAAAGAUAUCGUAGGAAGUGAGCGAAAGACUACGUCGACCCGGCCUCCAUCCCCACCUCUCAUUGACAUGGCAGAACUCAAGCUCUGGUCUUUCUACCGAGCACUCAUCGCCGAGUUCAUCGCAACCCUCCUCUUCCUCUACAUCACCGUAGCCACCGUCAUCGGCUACAAGAAGUCCGAUCCCUGUAACAGCGUCGGCCUUCUCGAUGUGGCUUGGGCUUUGGAGGCAUAAUCUUCGUCCUUGUCUACUGCACCGCCGGUGUCUCUGGGCACAAACAAAGUUGCAGGCAUGAUAAUAGAAAUGCCCAAAGGCAAGGACGUGAUAAGGUUGAGUCACAAAGCAUUUGAACGGAUGAAAAACCUUAGAGUGCUUAUCAUUCGUAAUGCAAGUUUUUCAAGUGGACCUAAUUAUCUCUCCAAUGAAUUAAGAGUACUUGAUUGGAUUGAAUAUCCGCUACAAUCCUUGCCACCCAAUUUCCAUGGAAAUAAACUCAUUAUCUUUAAAAUGCGUGAUAGCUUCAUCAGGGAGUUAAGCUUCAUCAAGUUUAAGGUAUCUACAAUUAUAAUCUUCAAUAACUUUGUUUCUUUAAUCUAUGUGCUAAACUCCUUUCAUUUUUUUUUACAGAAUAUGACAAUUAUGGAAUUCUGUAAUUGUAAUUUCUUAACAAAAUUUCUAGAUGUUUCAAGCAUCCAAAAUUUGAAGAAAUUGAUGGCCAUAAAUUGUAAAAAUUUAGUUGAGGUGCAUAAUUCCAUUGGAUCCUUGGAGAAUCUUUGUCACUUGAGUUUUUGGGGAUGCUCUAACUUUCACAGCUUUCCUGAAAUUGGGUGUGAAAUGAAAUCUUUAACUACAUUAUCUCUAACGCAAACUACAGUGGAAGAACUAUCAUUAUCAAUUAGCAAUCUUACUAGACUUGAGGAAUUACAACUAACUUGGUGCAAAAACCUUAAGCGUCUCCCAAUUAACAUUAUUCAUUGGUUGCAACAUUUAAAAAGUCUUGGGAUAUUUGGUGAUAAUCUAGAAAAAAAAAAGAUGGGGUAUGAUGGACAAUCCAUUCUAGCUAUUGGGUCUACAGCAAUUGAAGAACAGAUUUCAUCGAAAGAAGAACAACUCCCGGAAUUGGCGCCUCCAACGAAUUCAAGCAAUGGAAGCAGUGCAUUACAAGUGUUGAAUCAUCAGAAUUGUUUACAAUCAGAAUCAAAUUCCUUUCCAAUAUCAUGUUUCUUUAACAUGUUUUAUUCUUCAGACAGAUUGACUCAGUUAGAUCUAUCGGAAAGUAAAAUUGUUAGCCUUCCUACAAGCAUAAGAGGAUUUGUUGCACUUAAGAGAGCUCUACUUGUUGUAUUGCGAGAAACUUGAAGAAAUCGUAGAGCUUCCACCAAAUAUAUAAUUGGUAGAUGUUUGGGGAUGCAGGUUAUUAGAAAGAUUUCCUGAAGGAUCAAGAAUAAUGGAAUUCAAUGGAAGCCACAUCAGCUCACUAUAUCAUAUUAACUUGAAUGGCUGCGACAAAAUGGAUGAGAAGACUUGGAAUUAUAAAGUGCCAAAUUUGAUUACUGUGGAAGGUAUAUAUGUGUCUCAACCUCUCCCUCUCUCUCUUUGAAUUCGAUAUAGGAUGCAUGACUUUAAAAUAAAUGAUGAUGAUGAUAUUGUUUUAACAGGGACAUUAUAAUGCCGCUAUGUUUCUGGAAAAUGAGAUUCCAAAGUGGUUACAGUAUCAUAAAGAAUUUUUAGAAAAUGAAAUUGCUGAGAGAGGGGCUGAUGAUGUCCAAUUGAAAGGAAAUGAAGAAUGGGUAAUAAAUAUUGAGAGGCCACACCAUUUGGAGGAAAUAAGCGGAAUUGCAAUAUAUCUCGUUACAUUUUUUAACGAAGAUCUUAGGCAUGAUAAUUUUGAUCCUGAUGUUGAAAUAACGGUAUCCGCUCAAAUUGUGUAUGCCAUAUUGAUAGUGAAGAAUGUCUACUUUUCUCUAAUGAACUUCCAGCUUCUUCUGAUACUGAUGAACCGGAUUAUGACAAAGGCGUAGACCAAUAUCGAGUAUGGAUGUGGUACUCUGAUUUAGAAUCAUUUGAGGUAAAGGUUUUGGACAAUUUGAGGGUUCAACUUUGUAUUCCUCCCAAUCCUAGGGAUCCUCUUUGGGAACAUCUUUGGUCACGAUAUUAUUAUAUAAGUUGGGGAGCCAAUGAUUGAAUUAAAUCAUAGCCCAAGUGAAAUUUCAAGGGAGAUUUUGGUUUGUUCUCUUUGGUCUUAUAUUUGCCAUUCAUUUAUUAGCUCAAUGAUUUUACCACUCAUUUAUUUUUGCAUUUUCAAGAAUGGAUAAACCUGUCUUUAUUUCUUUUGUAGAUUUUGAUAACCUGUCUUUUCUUUUCUAAAAUGAUCAUUUUCAAGAAUGCCAAGUCGAUGCUAAUCAUUUAUGAAAAUUCUGUGGUAACCAUUAAAAGCUCAAAUCGUGUAUGCCAACUCGAUACUAAUCAAGGGGUAUAUUUGUCUAAUAGUUAGGUAACGAAUAAAUGAUUUAGAAUCAUUUGAGCUAAAGGUAUCUUCAACUUCCUGGUGAUGGUGCUCUUUUGCGGAUGCCAUAUUAUAGGAGUUGGGGAGCCAAUAUUGUAUACAAGCAUGAAAGUAGAGCACAUAAAAGAAGAAAAUUGGAUUGAAUUAAAUGAUAGGUCAAGUGGACUUUUGCUACUAUUCCUUUGGAAUUUCAGCCUGCAUUUUACGAGAAUUUCGGUCUAACAGUCAUGGAGGCACACCUUUGCAACAGAUCAAGGAGGCCCAGUAGAAAUUAUUGUUGGUGGAAUCUCAGGCUUUCACAUUGACCCCUGAAAUGGUGAUGAAUUGAGCCACAAGAUUGCUGAUUUCUUUUAAAUGUGCAAGGGGGAUCCUGAAAACUGGAACAAGAUCUCCAAAGCUAGUCUUUGGCAUAUAAAUGAAUGGUAAGUAAUUUCACGACGGGAUAUAGAGAACUAACCGUGAGAAUUUCGUUUGACAGUUGGUUGUUCUUACGCAUUGCAGCUACACAUGAAAGAGUUGUGCAAACAAGCUGCUGAACAUAGAAGCAGUGCAUGGAUUUUGGAGGCAGAUGAACUAGGAACAAAAGUUAGCUAAACAAAAACAUAUCGACAUGUUCUACAAUCUCCUGUUUAGGAAUUUCAGAAUGAUGUAACUCUACACAGUACACAAUUUCACUUUCAAAUUCAAAUCUUACCUCUACACGGAAUUAUUUGCUUUCAUUUUCGCUGGGUUCUCUCCUCUCCUCUCAAUCUCAGGCCGAAUGAACCUCUCAUAGUCGCAGGCCGAGAACAAACCUCCUGGCGUCGUCGAAGGGCGAACGAACCUCUCUCGACGUUGUUGAAGGGCAUGCAGACCUCUCCCGGCGUUGUCGAACGGCGAAGUCAAACGCACCAGACAGGCCGAACGAACUCCUCCACUCCCAGCGUGAGAACAACGGCGUCAUCGAAGGUGAUCAAAUGGAGGAGGCAUCACCAACUCCUGAUUCAUUUUGGAGCAAGAUAUCCGCCUUUAGGACGAUGGAUUGGGAAGCAUACAAGAAGAAGCCGAUCUCACAUUAGAUUAUUCUAUUUCUAGGCACUGCAGCAAUGAGGGUAUACUCCUCACAAGCAUUGCAGCCGUUAUAUUAUUAGAUGAACCCAUGAGAGGUUUCAAAAUUCUCUCUCUGAUGGUUACCUUCUGGGGAUUUGGCUCAUAUAUAUAUAUGGCAGUUUGUCGUUUGGUAAGGAUCCAUCAUGACAAUGGUUCUUGAAUUCCCUUCUAGUCAUUGUUUUCUUUGUUGAAGAUUCAUUGGGGUUAAUUUAUACAAUAUUGUUGGGCAAUUCUAGACCCAACUUAUGAGGGAAUUAUUUGUAAUUGGAGAGAAGUGUACUAGCAGUACCUUUGCAAUAUAAUUAGUUUUCUUCAA